This 394-nucleotide ribosomal RNA is filed under the name uncultured bacterium. RNAcentral's name for it is "partial 16S ribosomal RNA". It matches the Rfam family "Bacterial small subunit ribosomal RNA", at positions 523 to 918 of the family's 1533-position model. The record is from RNAcentral.
AUACGGAGGAUGCAAGCGUUAUCCGGAUUUAUUGGGUUUAAAGGGUGCGUAGGCGGAUGAUUAAGCGUGAGGGGAAAUGCCACUGCUCAACCGUGGAACUGCCUCGCUAACUGGUUGUCUUGAAUGCUCCUGCCGUGGGAGGAAAGUGUGGUGUAGCGGUGAAAUGCAUAGAGAUUACACAGAACACCGAUUGCGAAGGCAUCUCACGAAGGGGUGAUUGACGCUGAGGCACGAAAGCGUGGGGAUCAAACAGGAUUAGAUACCCUGGUAGUCCACGCAGUAAACGAUGAUAACUAACCGCUGGGUCGUAGUGAUUCAGUGGCCAAGCGAAAGCGAUAAGUUAUCCACCUGGGGAGUACGACCGCAAGGUUGAAACUCAAAUGAAUUGACGGGG